This 525-nucleotide ribosomal RNA is filed under the name Paenibacillus xylanisolvens. Its description in RNAcentral is "bacterial SSU rRNA". It matches the Rfam family "Bacterial small subunit ribosomal RNA", at positions 1 to 510 of the family's 1533-position model. The record is from RNAcentral. Lineage: Bacteria; Bacillati; Bacillota; Bacilli; Caryophanales; Paenibacillaceae.
UUUGGAAAGAAAUUGAUCCUGGCUCAGGAUGAACGCUGGCGGCGUGCCUAAUACAUGCAAGUCGAGCGAACAGACAAGGAGCUUGCUCCUUUGACGUUAGCGGCGGACGGGUGAGUAACACGUGGGUAACCUACCUAUAAGACUGGGAUAACUUCGGGAAACCGGAGCUAAUACCGGAUAAUAUUUCGAACCGCAUGGUUCGAUAGUGAAAGAUGGUUUUGCUAUCACUUAUAGAUGGACCCGCGCCGUAUUAGCUAGUUGGUAAGGUAACGGCUUACCAAGGCGACGAUACGUAGCCGACCUGAGAGGGUGAUCGGCCACACUGGAACUGAGACACGGUCCAGACUCCUACGGGAGGCAGCAGUAGGGAAUCUUCCGCAAUGGGCGAAAGCCUGACGGAGCAACGCCGCGUGAGUGAUGAAGGUCUUCGGAUCGUAAAACUCUGUUAUUAGGGAAGAACAUACAUGUAAGUAACUAUUGCACGUCUUGACGGUGGCUAAGUAGAAACCCAUGCACUCCACUCAU